UUACGGCCAUAUGACGUUAAAACACAUGUUCCCGAACGAUCACCGAAGUUAAGCAACGCCGAGCCUGGUUAGUACCUAGAGAAGUAACCGCUUGGGAAUACUAGGUGUUGUAAG
This is a non-coding RNA of Acanthosepion pharaonis, 114 nucleotides long. The record is from the annotation of a GenBank genome assembly. Lineage: Eukaryota; Metazoa; Mollusca; Cephalopoda; Sepiida; Sepiidae.